ACGGAAGGCAGCAGUGAGGAAUAUUGGGCAAUGGGCGCAAGCCUGACCCAGCAACGCCGCGUGAAGGAAGAAGGCUUUCGGGUUGUAAACUUCUUUUGUCAGGGACGAGUAGAAGACGGUACCUGAUGAAUAAGCCACGGCUAACUACGUGCCAGCAGCCGCGGUAAUACGUAGGUGGCAAGCGUUGUCCGGAUUUACUGGGUGCAAAGGGCGUGUAGCCGGGUCGGCAAGUCAGAUGUGAAAUCCAUGGGCUCAACUCAUGAACUGCAUUUGAAACUGUUGAUCUUGAGUAUCGGAGAGGCAAUCGGAAUUCCUAGUGUAGCGGUGAAAUGCGUAGAUAUUAGGAGGAACACCAGUGGCGAAGGCGGAUUGCUGGACGACAACUGACGGUGAGGCGCGAAAGCGUGGGGAGCAAACAGGAUUAGAUACCCUGGUA
RNAcentral lists this ribosomal RNA (436 nucleotides) under uncultured Oscillibacter sp. Its description in RNAcentral is "bacterial SSU rRNA". It matches the Rfam family "Bacterial small subunit ribosomal RNA", at positions 341 to 792 of the family's 1533-position model. The record is from RNAcentral. Lineage: Bacteria; Bacillati; Bacillota; Clostridia; Eubacteriales; Oscillospiraceae.